ACUACCAUCACUUUGCACACAGUACGAACUAGGCUAAGGGAAAUUAUUUAACUUUAAGCAAUCCAAGAAGCAUGUGGUUCCUGCUUUUAACAUCUUUGUUGAUCUUCUUUUCAGGUCCGGGAAAAGCUUACUAUCUGCCAUCCGGCAGAGAUCAGCAAGCGAUUCUUUUCGAAGACUACUCAAAUUCCCACGACGUCUGCCUCACACCUGGAUGCGUGAAAGCAGCUGCUGAAAUUUUAUCUAAUUUGGAUGAGACUGUGGAUCCCUGUAACGACUUCUAUCAGUUUGCUUGCGGCGGCUGGCUGAAGAGUCAUGAUAUUCCUGCGGACGAAGCUUCAGUUACUACCAUGUCGAUUAUGCAAGACGAUCUUGAUCUGCAACUCAAAGGACUUUUAGAAAAGGAAUUGACAGGAAUAGAACCUGAUUUCAUCCGAAUGAUAAAAUCAAUGUAUGAUACCUGCAUGGACCUAAAAAGCAUCGAGAAAACAGACAGCGAACCUUUGAAGAAAGCUCUGAGGAAUCUCGGUGGCUGGCCGGUUACAGAAGGGGAAAACUGGGAUGAAGCCUCCUUCGACUGGAUUGACACUCUAAUUCGACUCCGCAAGAUGGGCUAUAACUUCAACUCUUUAAUGUACUUGCUUGUCUCUGAGGAUUACAGAAACAACACGGCUCAUAUCAUAGCGUUGGAUCAAGCAUCACUUGGAAUGCCAGAUCUUACAUAUUAUUUGCUUGGAUUAGAUGAUCCCGUCACGGCUGCUUACUUUAGAUUUAUGGUAAAAGCAGCUAAUAAACUGCGUGCAGAUGAACGUACAUCAGAAGCAGAACUCCGAGAAGCUUUCAGAUUCGAAACUAUGCUCGCCAAUUUCUCUACACCAAAAGAGGAAAGACGAGACAUUGACAGUAUGUACAACAAAUACACAGUUAAGAAGCUUAUGGAACAAGUACCACAGAUUGACUGGCUGAAAUAUAUCAAUGGACUGUUGAAUGAUGAAAUAUUUGAAAAUGAAACUUUGAUUGUUUUUGAUCCACAUUUCAUCACUAAAUUUGCUGAUCUGAUCACAAAAGCAGAUAAGAGGGUGGUGGCCAAUUACAUGAUGUGGAGAGUUGUUAAAGAAUCUGCUUCCGAAUUAUCUUCAGACUGGAGGAAACUAAGUCAGGAAUAUUCCUUUGUGUUGUCUGGAACAGAGCAAGAAAAGCCAAGAUGGAAAACAUGCCUUCAAUCUUUUAGUGAUAGCCUACUUAUUGCUCUCAGUUCCUACUACGUGCGUGAGUAUUUCAAAGAGGAAAGUAAGGAUGUGGCGCUAGAGAUGGUUAAAUACAUCCAGCAAGAAUUCUUAAAUAUUCUAAAAAAUAUAGAUUGGAUGGAGAAAGAAACAAAAAAACAAGCCAUAGAAAAGGCUCUUGCUAUGAAGUCGUGUAUUGGAUAUCCUAAUGAGCUUCUAAAGAAUUCAUACAUAUCUAUUUUUUACGAAAAUCUGACGCUCAAUGAUAAAAGUUACUAUGAAAACACUAGGAAAGUAAACAAGUGGGAAACUGAUUACGAUUUCUCUGAGCUUCGGAAACCUAGGAUAAAAGGAGACUGGAAGGAAUAUGCACAUGCUGCUGUCGUAAACGCCUUUUAUCAUUUAGUGGACAAUAUCAUUGCAUUUCCUGCUGGAAUUUUACAACAUCCUUUUUUCAACAAGGAGCAACCGAAUUACUUGAAUUUUGGAGCCAUGGGUUGUAUUAUUGGUCAUGAAAUUACCCAUGGAUUCGACGAUACAGGUCGGCAAUUUGAUAAAGAUGGUAACAACGUGAACUGGUGGGAGCAGAAGACAGAUGAGCUCUUCGAAAAGAAAGCCCAAUGUAUUGUAGAACAAUACGGUAAUUACACUGCUGAAAAUGGCAUGCGGCUGAACGGCAUUAAUACUCAAGGAGAAAAUAUAGCUGACAUUGGAGGUCUGAAAGAAAGUUAUAUGGCAUAUCAAACAUGGGUAAGGGACCAUGGAAGGGAGACAAAGCUACCAGGACUGAAGUAUACUCAAAAUCAGUUGUUCUGGAUCAGUGCGGCUAAUGUAGAGUGUGCGAAAGUAAGACCAGAAGUUCUAUCGUUGGACAUUAUUUCUGAUUCACAUAGUCCAUCAAAAUUUAGAGUGAAUGGGCCACUGUCUAAUCUACCAGAGUUUUCGGAAGACUUUCACUGUUCUUCAGGUUCCCCAAUGAAUCCAGAAAGCAAGUGCACAGUUUGAAUAAUCUUGAAGCAAAUGUUUGCAACUACAGGCAGUCCAAGCUCAAUAAUUGUUGAGCAGAGGGAGGAGGUAAAGGAGUGUUUCCCUUUCCAUCACGUUCAUCCUCGGAGACCACUCCGGAUCUGAUGGUAAAGUAAAGCUGACGCAUCAGUUGUUUCUAGCCCUUUGCAAGACAUUGUAAAUCUCAGCAGUAUUUAAUUUAAAUAAAACUUUGAUGUGAUUUCUA
Molecule: unclassified non-coding RNA, 2454 nt
Organism: Stegodyphus dumicola
Lineage: Eukaryota; Metazoa; Arthropoda; Arachnida; Araneae; Eresidae
Source: RefSeq, a predicted model, not a curated record